ACGUAGGGUGCAAGCGUUAAUCGGAAUUACUGGGCGUAAAGCGUGCGCAGGCGGCUUUGCAAGACAGAUGUGAAAUCCCCGGGCUCAACCUGGGAACUGCAUUUGUGACUGCAAGGCUAGAGUACGGUAGAGGGGGAUGGAAUUCCGCGUGUAGCAGUGAAAUGCGUAGAUAUGCGGAGGAACACCGAUGGCGAAGGCAAUCCCCUGGACCUGUACUGACGCUCAUGCACGAAAGCGUGGGGAGCAAACAGG
Molecule: ribosomal RNA, 252 nt
Filed under: uncultured bacterium
Lineage: Bacteria
Description: partial 16S ribosomal RNA
Rfam family: Bacterial small subunit ribosomal RNA
Source: RNAcentral